GGCUCAGAUGGUAAAGCAUCUGCCUGCAAUGCAGGAGACCCGGGUUCGAUCCCUGG
RNAcentral lists this transfer RNA (56 nucleotides) under Bos taurus (domestic cattle). It matches the Rfam family "tRNA", at positions 9 to 63 of the family's 71-position model. From Rfam's summary of the family: Transfer RNA (tRNA) molecules are approximately 80 nucleotides in length. Their secondary structure includes four short double-helical elements and three loops (D, anti-codon, and T loops). RNAcentral also lists the same sequence under 4 other names. Lineage: Eukaryota; Metazoa; Chordata; Mammalia; Artiodactyla; Bovidae. The record is from Rfam by way of RNAcentral.